RNAcentral lists this ribosomal RNA (462 nucleotides) under Alteromonas sp. 06-027338. RNAcentral describes it as "bacterial SSU rRNA". It matches the Rfam family "Bacterial small subunit ribosomal RNA", at positions 250 to 704 of the family's 1533-position model. Lineage: Bacteria; Pseudomonadati; Pseudomonadota; Gammaproteobacteria; Alteromonadales; Alteromonadaceae. The record is from RNAcentral.
UGGUAAGGUAACGGCUUACCAAGGCGACGAUCUCUAGCUGUUCUGAGAGGAAGAUCAGCCACACUGGGACUGAGACACGGCCCAGACUCCUACGGGAGGCAGCAGUGGGGAAUAUUGCACAAUGGGGGAAACCCUGAUGCAACCAUGCCGCGUGUGUGAAGAAGGCCUUCGGAUUGUAAAGCACUUUCAGUUGUGAGGAAAAGUUAGUAGAUAAUACCUGCUAGCCGUGACGUUAACAACACAAGAAGCACCGGCUAACUCCGUGCCAGCAGCCGCGGUAAUACGGAGGGUGCGAGCGUUAAUCGGAAUUACUGGGCGUAAAGCGCACGCAGGCGGUUUGUUAAGCUAGAUGUGAAAGCCCCGGGCUCAACCUGGGAUGGUCAUUUAGAACUGGCACACUAGAGUCUUGGAUAGGGGAGUGGAAUUCCAAGUGUAGCGGUGAAAUGCGUAUAUAUCUGGAGG